RNAcentral lists this ribosomal RNA (535 nucleotides) under uncultured Aquificales bacterium. RNAcentral describes it as "bacterial SSU rRNA". It matches the Rfam family "Bacterial small subunit ribosomal RNA", at positions 21 to 531 of the family's 1533-position model. Lineage: Bacteria; Pseudomonadati; Aquificota; Aquificia; Aquificales. The record is from RNAcentral.
GGCUCAGCGCGAACGCUGGCGGCGUGCCUAACACAUGCAAGUCGUGCGGAGGGGUGAUGAGCCCCUCAGCGGCAAACGGGUGAGUAACACGUGAGUAACCUGCCCCUGGGAAGGGGAUAACCCUCCGAAAGGGGGGCUAAUACCCUAUAUUGCCGGGGACCACUAAGGUCACCCGGUGAAAGGUGGCCUCUGCCCUUCAUGGGUAUGCUACCGCCCAGGGAGGGGCUCGCGGCCCAUCAGGUAGUUGGUGGGGUAACGGCCUACCAAGCCUAUGACGGGUAGCCGGCCUGAGAGGGUGGCCGGCCACAGUGGGACUGAGACACGGCCCACACCCCUACGGGGGGCAGCAGUGGGGAAUCGUGGGCAAUGGGCGAAAGCCUGACCCCGCGACGCCGCGUGGGGGAUGAAGCCCUUCGGGGUGUAAACCCCUGUCGGGGGGGACGAUGUGUCCUGGGGUGAAUAAUCCCAGGGCAUGACGGUACCCCCAGAGGAAGGGACGGCUAACUACGUGCCAGCAGCCGCGGUAAUACGUAGG